CAGAUUCGCACGAAAUUGUGGAAGGUGAAGUUCUCGAAGUGAGUGAGCGAGUGCUUUGGAUGGGAAGUGCAUGAUGCACGGCCGUGAUGUGGCUUUUAUAAAAAAAGUAGAUUAGGUUGUGGCACGUGGUCUGGGGAUUGCACUUGCAGUGGAACUCUGAUGAAUGUUAAUGUCAUGCGGUCAUUUCAGACCCAUAAGACCUAUGAAAGUAAGUUGGAUUCAAUCAAGGUUUCAGGUCAGGGUAAACUAGGCAUAUAUAAAUAUAUAUUAAGACAUGCCAUUGAAUCCCUUAUAUAUGCAGAUAUAGAAUGCAGAUAUUAUACUUAAGAUAAUAUUUGUCUAUCUGCAAACUACAAGUGUGUGUAAACUUCUCGCGCGGCAAAUCGUAUCUAGCAUCGCAAAAGAUACACUCUCACUAGUUCGAGCGUGCAGUAUCUGUAUGUGGUUAUGGGUAUGAAACACAACAGGUUGUCGGCGGUGUUUGGAGAAAGUGCUUAGUGCCAACAAUACCAUCAGGUGCAAUGACCACAUAGGUAUACCUAGUCGGUGGAUGGUUGGUUCGAAAAAUCGUAUAAAUUGUCAUGGAAACGCGACGCUCUGUGGAAGGCUAAACAUGCGAGGGAACUUGAUCUGAUUAAAGCCCCAUAAUCAACUAAGGGAGUUUUCCGACGAAAAGAUUGGCCAUAUAACUACUAAGAAAUACCUAAAGCUUGUCCAACAUUAGACAAGCUGCAUACCGUUAAUAUAAACUAUUAUAACUUUCUUUUCGUACAAAGAGAAACAUAACAAUGCAAUGGUUAAGUCCGUUGAACUUUAACUAUUUAAUGUCUUUGGAGCUUAGAUAAGGAGAUACAUAACUUUAUAUGGUAAAGAUAUCUUUAAUAUUACUUGAUUUAAACGUCUUGAACUUUGAUAAGAAGAUACUUACCAUUACAUAUUGUAAAUUUCUAUUUAACAUAACUUCUUGAACUACCCAAAUCUAAAUGGUUACAUAAACUCCAAAAUUACUCAUGGAAGGAUUGGAGUACUCAAUCUUUCAGAUGCGUCUACUGCUUCCACAUUUCUUCCGCUUGAAGGCCGCAAACAAGGGUUCAAGUACAGCAAACACUUUCUUAGUCACACGUACAUACAUAUCUCUUCUCUGCGUAGGUGGUGAAAAUUGCUGCCCUUUUUUCCAGUCUCAAUUCCUCACAGAUGCGUUUCCUAGAUGCCAACAUGCUGAGGAUUACCCAUUGUCCGUAAUAUUUGUAUGGAAAGGAUACCCCGUCGAAGUGCUAUUGAUGAACUCUCGCACACAUGCUUGGAAAUAUUAUUACUAGUCACGGCGUGGGAACCGAGGCAGAAAUGUCCCAAGAUCCGUGCAGAAUAUGGCAAUUUCUGGACGUAAAGGUGGGUAAUUUGCGACACAUUUAUAAUACGGGUACGGCACCGGCAUUUCCCAGGUGAAAAUGCGACAUCGCAAAUAGUGGUCACCCUGCUGUACGGAUGUAUCCCAGAUACAUACAUACAGAAAAAAAUUGGUUUGUCAGCGAAAUCAGUUUUUCAAGAAAAACUGAGCCCUUUAUUCCCAACUCGGACACAAACGACAGUGAGGUACAGCCUGCCGAGGACCAUUAACCCUGUCAACCCCUAAAAUGACAAUUGUUUGAGCUAUCAAAAGGAUAUUUUUCAAUAAAAUAUUAUCCAAAAUAGUUUCCCCUUUCUUCCGAGAUGGAUUGUUAUGCAUAUGUGCUUUUCCAGGCCAUCCGUGAACGUAUUCUUAAAGGGGUACAACAAUUUCACAGUUUUUCCACACAAAAGCAAUGCCGACCGACCCACAUUUAUGAAUGGAAAGUAUCCUUAAUCUUAUCAUCAUGGGGUGGGUUGGACUUCGACCGAAAUUUUGUCAAGUUUCCUCAUUUUUCACGAUAGAUUCAAACGAACUUUGGCCCUUUUCUUCAAUUUUGUAAUUGCGCCGUUUAUUUGCCCAUUGUAUUUUCGCGCGACCCUGUUUCACCUGGGAAGAUCCCGAUCCUUUGUUCUUUUGUGACACCAAACUAGCUGGAAAACCUCUUUUUUUUAUAUUGUCAUCAUUGUUACACUUUUCUUUGUAAAUAAAAACUUGACAAUUUUCUGGAAAAUAUAUGCGCAAUAAACAAUGGUUUGAUCAAGCAAUCAAAAUCUGAUAAGAUUUGUUUAUUUAUUUAUUAUUUACUUAGCGCUUUAAUUAAAUUUGCCCAAAAGUUGGCUAUAAUUGCGUGACGUUCGGAUUUGAAGCUAUCUUUUCAGAUUUGCGUUUUUGUCGUUGCAAGACCGCGGCAGUUAAUCCAAGAAACAAGUUCUCUUAUGAACAUUUCAAUCUUUCGGUCGACUGACUCAGCAUCCCUCAACGAAGUUCUACGCUUUUACGCACUAUAUAAAACAGCCUGCAGUCGAAAAGGACCUCUCAAUAGUCCUGUGCACCACCUGCUUCCUGUGGAAUGAUGCUGGGAUUCCGAGAUAUUCUUGCAGCUGAACAUAUGCGCCUACGCUUCUUGGUUUUAUAAUUUUAAGGGCUGUUCGAAUUUUCAGGAUGUCUUCGCGGGUCCUAAAAAACGAUAUAAACUGUACACAUGACGAGAAACAUAAGGGUAAUCUCUUUGCGUGGAAAUGUUUCAAAGAACUAAGCAGAAAUGGAAAUCAGGCAAUAAAAUCAUAUCAUUUAUCCCUAAGCCUUUUUUCGAAUUCCUGAAAAUGAAAAGUCCUUCUAUAGUAAACUAUUUGGCAGGAUAUCUAAGUCAUAAAAAUAAUAAAUACGGGAAAAAAAUCAAGAAACUAAUCUGCAAACUAAUCCACUGAAACACCUGAUUAUUUUGUAUACACGAAUCAAUAUAUAUUUGCAAAUAUAUAGUAUUGUAUAUGCUUAUUUACACAGUUAUAAAUAUAUAUAGUUAGUUAUUUAAAGACAUGUAUGUGUGUACUAUUAUAGUUUAACAAAUGCCAUGUGUGCAUAACGUUAAAUAAAUUUAUUUGUACGUUUGCAGAGUAAAUACGUUUUUUGUUGUGUGUAAUACCAUUUCUGCGAUAUUGUUUGCAAUAAUACACUGUAAAUAGCUAUACCUUGAUAUUAUGUAUAUAUAAUAUAAGGUACUUCGCCACAAUAUGUUAUAUACCAAAAUUCCAUUAUAUGUCUCGUUCAACGUUGGGUUUUUGGAAUGCAUAUAAUUUGAAAUGGAUUAUUUAUGUAUAUAGAGAUGCUUUAAGUACAGGACUUUAAACAGUAUCAGUUUCAAAAUAAUAAUAAAUCAAAACCAGAAACCUUUGAUUUAAC
Non-coding RNA from Drosophila melanogaster (fruit fly), 3289 nucleotides. The record is from Ensembl. Lineage: Eukaryota; Metazoa; Arthropoda; Insecta; Diptera; Drosophilidae.